RNAcentral lists this ribosomal RNA (253 nucleotides) under uncultured bacterium. RNAcentral's name for it is "partial 16S ribosomal RNA". It matches the Rfam family "Bacterial small subunit ribosomal RNA", at positions 524 to 776 of the family's 1533-position model. The record is from RNAcentral.
UACGUAGGGAGCAAGCGUUGUCCGGAAUCAUUGGGCGUAAAGCGCGCGUAGGUGGCCUUGCAAGUCCGCUGUGAAAGUCAAAGGCUCAACCUUUGAAAGCCGGUGGAUACUGCAUGGCUAGAGUACGGAAGAGGCGAGUGGAAUUCCUGGUGUAGCGGUGGAAUGCGCAGAUAUCAGGAGGAACACCAAUAGCGAAGGCAGCUCGCUGGGACGUUACUGACACUGAGGCGCGAAAGCGUGGGGAGCGAACAGG